UCCAGACUCCUACGGGAGGCAGCAGUGGGGGAUAUUGCACAAUGGGGGAAACCCUGAUGCAGCGACGCCGCGUGGGCGAAGAAGUAUUUCGGUAUGUAAAGCUCUAUCAGCAGGGAAGAAAAUGACGGUACCUGACUAAGAAGCCCCGGCUAACUACGUGCCAGCAGCCGCGGUAAUACGUAGGGGGCAAGCGUUAUCCGGAUUUACUGGGUGUAAAGGGAGCGUAGACGGCAUGGCAAGUCAGAUGUGAAAGCCCGGGGCUCAACCCCGGGACUGCAUUUGAAACUGUCAGGCUGGAGUGCAGGAGAGGUAAGUGGAAUUCCUAGUGUAGCGGUGUAAUGCGUAGAUAUUAGGAGGAACACCAGUGGCGAAGGCGGCUUACUGGACUGUAACUGACGUUGAGGCUCGAAAGCGUGGGGAGCAAACAGGAUUAGAUACCCGCGUAU
This 446-nucleotide ribosomal RNA is filed under the name uncultured bacterium. RNAcentral describes it as "bacterial SSU rRNA". It matches the Rfam family "Bacterial small subunit ribosomal RNA", at positions 330 to 793 of the family's 1533-position model. The record is from RNAcentral.